CGGCGAUGUCCGAAUGGGGAAACCCAGUGCAAUUCGUUGCACUAUCGUUAACUGAAUACAUAGGUUAACGAGGCGAACCGGGGGAACUGAAACAUCUAAGUACCCCGAGGAAAAGAAAUCAACCGAGAUUCCCCCAGUAGCGGCGAGCGAACGGGGAGCAGCCCAGAGUCUGAAUCAGCUUGUGUGUUAGUGGAACGGUCUGGAAAGUCCGACGGUACAGGGUGAUAGUCCCGUACACCAAAAUGCACAGGCUGUGAACUCGAAGAGUAGGGCGGGACACGUGGUAUCCUGUCUGAAUAUGGGGGGACCAUCCUCCAAGGCUAAAUACUCCUGACUGACCGAUAGUGAACCAGUACCGUGAGGGAAAGGCGAAAAGAACCCCGGCGAGGGGAGUGAAAAAGAACCUGAAACCGUGUACGUACAAGCAGUGGGAGCACCUUCGGGUGUGACUGCGUACCUUUUGUAUAAUGGGUCAGCGACUUAUAUUCUGUAGCAAGGUUAACCGUAUAGGGGAGCCGCAGGGAAACCGAGUCUUAACUGGGCGUUAAGUUGCAGGGUAUAGACCCGAAACCCGGUGAUCUAGCCAUGGGCAGGUUGAAGGUUGGGUAACACUAACUGGAGGACCGAACCGACUAAUGUUGAAAAAUUAGCGGAUGACUUGUGGCUGGGGGUGAAAGGCCAAUCAAACCGGGAGAUAGCUGGUUCUCCCCGAAAGCUAUUUAGGUAGCGCCUCGUGAAUUCAUCUUCGGGGGUAGAGCACUGUUUCGGCUAGGGGGUCAUCCCGACUUACCAACCCGAUGCAAACUACGAAUACCGAAGAAUGUUAUCACGGGAGACACACGGCGGGUGCUAACGUCCGUCGUGAAGAGGGAAACAACCCAGACCGCCAGCUAAGGUCCCAAAGUCAUGGUUAAGUGGGAAACGAUGUGGGAAGGCACAGACAGCCAGGAUGUUGGCUUAGAAGCAGCCAUCAUUUAAAGAAAGCGUAAUAGCUCACUGGUCGAGUCGGCCUGCGCGGAAGAUGUAACGGGGCUAAACCAUGCACCGAAGCUGCGGCAGCGACACUAUGUGUUGUUGGGUAGGGGAGCGUUCUGUAAGCCUGCGAAGGUGACCUGUGAGGGUUGCUGGAGGUAUCAGAAGUGCGAAUGCUGACAUAAGUAACGAUAAAGCGGGUGAAAAGCCCGCUCGCCGGAAGACCAAGGGUUCCUGUCCAACGUUAAUCGGGGCAGGGUGAGUCGACCCCUAAGGCGAGGCCGAAAGGCGUAGUCGAUGGGAAACAGGUUAAUAUUCCUGUACUUGGUGUUACUGCGAAGGGGGGACGGAGAAGGCUAUGUUAGCCGGGCGACGGUUGUCCCGGUUUAAGCAUGUAGGCUGGUUAUCCAGGCAAAUCCGGAUAAUCAAGGCUGAGGUGUGAUGACGAGGCACUACGGUGCUGAAGUAACAAAUGCCCUGCUUCCAGGAAAAGCCUCUAAGCAUCAGGUAACAUCAAAUCGUACCCCAAACCGACACAGGUGGUCAGGUAGAGAAUACCAAGGCGCUUGAGAGAACUCGGGUGAAGGAACUAGGCAAAAUGGUGCCGUAACUUCGGGAGAAGGCACGCUGGUGUGUAGGUGAAGUCCCUGCGGAUGGAGCUGAGACCAGUCGAAGAUACCAGCUGGCUGCAACUGUUUAUUAAAAACACAGCACUGUGCAAACACGAAAGUGGACGUAUACGGUGUGACGCCUGCCCGGUGCCGGAAGGUUAAUUGAUGGGGUUAUCCGUAAGGAGAAGCUCUUGAUCGAAGCCCCGGUAAACGGCGGCCGUAACUAUAACGGUCCUAAGGUAGCGAAAUUCCUUGUCGGGUAAGUUCCGACCUGCACGAAUGGCGUAAUGAUGGCCAGGCUGUCUCCACCCGAGACUCAGUGAAAUUGAACUCGCUGUGAAGAUGCAGUGUACCCGCGGCAAGACGGAAAGACCCCGUGAACCUUUACUAUAGCUUGACACUGAACAUUGAGCCUUGAUGUGUAGGAUAGGUGGGAGGCUUUGAAGCGUGGACGCCAGUCUGCGUGGAGCCAACCUUGAAAUACCACCCUUUAAUGUUUGAUGUUCUAACGUUGGCCCCUUACCGGGGUUGCGGACAGUGUCUGGUGGGUAGUUUGACUGGGGCGGUCUCCUCCCAAAGCGUAACGGAGGAGCACGAAGGUUAGCUAAUCCUGGUCGGACAUCAGGAGGUUAGUGCAAUGGCAUAAGCUAGCUUGACUGCGAGCGUGACGGCGCGAGCAGGUGCGAAAGCAGGUCAUAGUGAUCCGGUGGUUCUGAAUGGAAGGGCCAUCGCUCAACGGAUAAAAGGUACUCCGGGGAUAACAGGCUGAUACCGCCCAAGAGUUCAUAUCGACGGCGGUGUUUGGCACCUCGAUGUCGGCUCAUCACAUCCUGGGGCUGAAGUAGGUCCCAAGGGUAUGGCUGUUCGCCAUUUAAAGUGGUACGCGAGCUGGGUUUAGAACGUCGUGAGACAGUUCGGUCCCUAUCUGCCGUGGGCGCUGGAGAAUUGAGGGGGGCUGCUCCUAGUACGAGAGGACCGGAGUGGACGCAUCACUGGUGUUCGGGUUGUCAUGCCAAUGGCACUGCCCGGUAGCUAAAUGCGGAAGAGAUAAGUGCUGAAAGCAUCUAAGCACGAAACUUGCCCCGAGAUGAGUUCU
Molecule: ribosomal RNA, 2679 nt
Filed under: Klebsiella pneumoniae
Lineage: Bacteria; Pseudomonadati; Pseudomonadota; Gammaproteobacteria; Enterobacterales; Enterobacteriaceae
Description: bacterial LSU rRNA
Rfam family: Bacterial large subunit ribosomal RNA
Source: RNAcentral